GGGGCUGUGGCUCAGCGGUAGAGCAUUUGCCUAGUGUGUGCAAGGCGCUGGGUUCGAUCCUCAGCACCA
RNAcentral lists this transfer RNA (69 nucleotides) under Ictidomys tridecemlineatus (thirteen-lined ground squirrel). Its description in RNAcentral is "Spermophilus tridecemlineatus (thirteen-lined ground squirrel) tRNA". It matches the Rfam family "tRNA". Rfam says of the family: Transfer RNA (tRNA) molecules are approximately 80 nucleotides in length. Their secondary structure includes four short double-helical elements and three loops (D, anti-codon, and T loops). Lineage: Eukaryota; Metazoa; Chordata; Mammalia; Rodentia; Sciuridae. The record is from Rfam by way of RNAcentral.